GUGAGUCAUCGAAUCUUUGAACGCACCUUGCGCUCCUUGGCAUUCCGAGGAGCAUGCCUGUUUGAGUGUCAUGAAUUCAUCAACCCCGAAGGGAUUUUGGUCCUUCUCGGUGGCUUGGACUUGGGGGACUUUGCUGGCCUUCGGUUGGUCGGCUCCCCUUGAAUGCAUUAGCUUGGACUUGUCCCGGCGACGUCAUAGCGUGAUAACUAUCUACGCUUUGAACCGUCUGUUGGUACCUCGUAGGUCUGGCUUCCAACCGUCUUCGGACAAUACACCAUUCAUUUUGACCUCAAAUCAGGUAGGACUACCCGCUGAACUUAAGCAUAUCAAUAAGGCGAGG
RNAcentral lists this ribosomal RNA (340 nucleotides) under uncultured fungus. RNAcentral describes it as "eukaryotic LSU rRNA". The stretch from base 1 to 71 matches the Rfam family "5.8S ribosomal RNA", at positions 84 to 154 of the family's 154-position model. The record is from RNAcentral. Lineage: Eukaryota; Fungi.